RNAcentral lists this ribosomal RNA (253 nucleotides) under uncultured bacterium. Its description in RNAcentral is "partial 16S ribosomal RNA". It matches the Rfam family "Bacterial small subunit ribosomal RNA", at positions 524 to 776 of the family's 1533-position model. The record is from RNAcentral.
UACAGAGGGUGCUAGCGUUGUUCGGAAUCAUUGGGCGUAAAGGGCGUGUAGGCGGUUUGUUAAGUCAUGUGUGAAAUCCCUCGGCUCAACCGGGGAACGACGCAUGAAACUGGCAAGCUAGAGUACCAAAGAGGGGCGUGGAAUUCCGGGUGGAGCGGUGAAAUGCGUAGAGAUCCGGAGGAACACCGACGGCGUAGGCAGCGCCCUGGACGACACCUGACGCUGAGGCACGAAAGCUGGGGGAGCGAACAGG